RNAcentral lists this ribosomal RNA (438 nucleotides) under uncultured bacterium. Its description in RNAcentral is "partial 16S ribosomal RNA". It matches the Rfam family "Bacterial small subunit ribosomal RNA", at positions 339 to 795 of the family's 1533-position model. The record is from RNAcentral.
CUACGGGCGGCUGCAGUGAGGAAUAUUGCACAAUGGGGGGAACCCUGAUGCAGCAACGCCGCGUGGAGGAUGACGCAUUUCGGUGCGUAAACUCCUUUUAUAUCCCAAGAUAAUGACGGUAGGAUAUGAAUAAGCGCCGGCUAACUCCGUGCCAGCAGCCGCGGUAAUACGGAGGGCGCAAGCGUUACUCGGAAUCACUGGGCGUAAAGAGCGUGUAGGCGGAUAGAUAAGUUGGGAGUGAAAUCCUAUGGCUUAACCAUAGAAUUGCUUCCAAAACUGUCUAUCUAGAAUAUGGGAGAGGUAGAUGGAAUUUCUGGUGUAGGGGUACAUCCGUAGAGAUCAGAAGGAAUACCGAUUGCGAAGGCGAUCUACUGGAACAUUAUUGACGCUGAGACGCGAAAGCGUGGGGAGCAAACAGGAUUAGAUACCCUGGUAGUC